AUCAACUUUCGAUUGGUAGGAUAGAGGCCUACCNNNGUGGUAACGGGUAACGGGGUGUUAGGGCACGACACCGGAGAGGGAGCCUGAGAAACGGCUACCACAUCCAAGGAUGGCAGCAGGCGCGCAAAUUACCCAAUCCCGACACGGGGAGGUAGUGACAAUAAAUAACAAUACGGGGUUCUUUCGGAUCUCGUAAUUGGAAUGAGUACAAUUUAAAUCUCUUAACGAGGAACAAUUGGAGGGCAAGUCUGGUGCCAGCAGCCGCGGUAAUUCCAGCUCCAAUAGCGUAUAUUAAAGUUGUUGCAGUUAAAAAGCUCGUAGUUGAAUUUCGGGGUUAGUAGGUUGGUCAUGCCUCUGGUAUGUACUGGUCUCACUGAUUCCUCCUUCCUUAUGAACCGUAAUGCCAUUAAUUUGGUGUUGCGGGGAAUUUGGACUGUUACUUUGAAAAAAUUAGAGUGUUUAAAGCAGGCUAACGCUUGAAUACAUUAGCAUGGAAUAAUGAAAUAGGACGUUCGAUCUUAUUUUGUUGGUUUCUAGGAUUGACGUAAUGAUUAAUAGGGAUAGUUGGGGGCAUUAGUAUUCAAUUGUCAGAGGUGAAAUUCUUGGAUUUAUUGAAGACUAACUACUGCGAAAGCAUUUGCCAAGGAUGUUUUCAUUAAUCAAGAACGAAAGUUAGGGGAUCGAAGACGAUCAGAUACCGUCGUAGUCUUAACCAUAAACUAUGCCGACUAGGGAUCGGAUGAUGUUAAUUUUUUAAUGACUCAUUCGGCGCCUUACGGGAAACCAAAGUGUUUGGGUUC
RNAcentral lists this ribosomal RNA (800 nucleotides) under uncultured Glomus. RNAcentral's name for it is "SSU rRNA". It matches the Rfam family "Eukaryotic small subunit ribosomal RNA", at positions 314 to 1114 of the family's 1831-position model. The record is from RNAcentral. Lineage: Eukaryota; Fungi; Glomeromycota; Glomeromycetes; Glomerales; Glomeraceae.